This 584-nucleotide long non-coding RNA is filed under the name Capsicum annuum. RNAcentral describes it as "long non-coding RNA (CANN_LNC015159)". The record is from RNAcentral. Lineage: Eukaryota; Viridiplantae; Streptophyta; Magnoliopsida; Solanales; Solanaceae.
UUAAGAAAGGCUGAGGUAGGCCUGAUUUAUAACCCACAGGAGAUUCUACAUUCCCUUGUCUCUGAUGAGUUUCUUUAGGUUGUGAGUAGCACCCUACAGUCAGUCUUUUUUGGGUCCUCCUUCCAAAUGUGAGACGAGCUAGGAAUUGUUUUUUGUUUGUUUUUACCCUUGCCUUCAUCAUCUGUUUCCUUCACUCUUCAAAGUUUUGUCGUCUUGAUUAGUACUUCUCACUUGCACCUCUUCUAUUGUGGCCCUAUGAGCAGCUUGGUUGUAGCUGGUAUGAGCAGUAUUUUUUUUUUGUCAAAUCUCCCUUUCCCUUUGUUCUUAUCCAGUUCUGUCUUCAUUGUCCGCCUUUCUUAGCUCUAGACAGAGUAUUCCACAACUUCGGGACUGCCUCAUACAGUGGCGGAACGACAUUGAAUUCAGAGGUUCAUCUGAACCCCCUUCGUCGGAAAAUUAUACUAUUUUUACAUGGUCAAUGAUAUUUUUAUGUAUAUAUAAUAGAUGUUGAACCCCCUUCGAUUAGUCCGUAUAUUUACUUCUGAACCCCUAAAUAAAAAUUCUGCAUCCGCCAUUGACCUCAU